CAGUAGCCGCGGGAAUACGAAGGGGGCUAGCGUUGCUCGGAAUGACUGGGCGUAAAGGGCGCGUAGGCGGAUUGUUUAGUUAGGCGUGAAAUUCCUGGGCUUAACCUGGGGACUGCGCUUAAUACAGGCAGUCUAGAGUGAGGAAGAGGGUUGUGGAAUUCCCAGUGUAGAGGUGAAAUUCGUAGAUAUUGGGAAGAACACCGGUGGCGAAGGCGGCAACCUGGUCCUUGACUGACGCUGAGGCGCGAAAGCGUGGGUAGCAAACAGGAUUAGAUACCCGCGUAGUCCCUGUCUCUUAUAC
RNAcentral lists this ribosomal RNA (301 nucleotides) under uncultured bacterium. RNAcentral describes it as "partial 16S ribosomal RNA". It matches the Rfam family "Bacterial small subunit ribosomal RNA", at positions 509 to 807 of the family's 1533-position model. The record is from RNAcentral.